AACGCAUGCAAGUCGAGCGGAAACGAGUUAUCUGAACCUUCGGGGAACGAUAACGGCGUCGAGCGGCGGACGGGUGAGUAAUGCCUAGGAAAUUGCCCUGAUGUGGGGGAUAACCAUUGGAAACGAUGGCUAAUACCGCAUGAUGCCUACGGGCCAAAGAGGGGGACCUUCGGGCCUCUCGCGUCAGGAUAUGCCUAGGUGGGAUUAGCUAGUUGGUGAGGUAAGGGCUCACCAAGGCGACGAUCCCUAGCUGGUCUGAGAGGAUGAUCAGCCACACUGGAACUGAGACACGGUCCAGACUCCUACGGGAGGCAGCAGUGGGGAAUAUUGCACAAUGGGCGCAAGCCUGAUGCAGCCAUGCCGCGUGUAUGAAGAAGGCCUUCGGGUUGUAAAGUACUUUCAGUCGUGAGGAAGGCGUUGUCGUUAAUAGCGGCAUCGUUUGACGUUAGCGACAGAAGAAGCACCGGCUAACUCCGUGCCAACAGCCGCGGUAAUACGGAGGGUGCGAGCGUUAAUCGGAAUUACUGGGCGUAAAGCGCAUGCAGGUGGUUUGUUAAGUCAGAUGUGAAAGCCCGGGGCUCAACCUCGGAAUAGCAUUUGAAACUGGCAGACUAGAGUNCUGUAGAGGGGGGUAGAAUUUCAGGUGUAGCGGUGAAAUGCGUAGAGAUCUGAAGGAAUACCAGUUGCGAAGG
This 692-nucleotide ribosomal RNA is filed under the name uncultured gamma proteobacterium TIHP302-11. Its description in RNAcentral is "bacterial SSU rRNA". It matches the Rfam family "Bacterial small subunit ribosomal RNA", at positions 50 to 721 of the family's 1533-position model. The record is from RNAcentral. Lineage: Bacteria; Pseudomonadati; Pseudomonadota; Gammaproteobacteria.